This 2511-nucleotide long non-coding RNA is filed under the name Rattus norvegicus (Norway rat). RNAcentral's name for it is "long non-coding RNA NONRATT024498". Lineage: Eukaryota; Metazoa; Chordata; Mammalia; Rodentia; Muridae. The record is from RNAcentral.
AUGUCAUUUUCAAUCCUAGCAGAAUGGAGAGUGGCUCCUAACUGCCCAGACUAGAGCUAUAAGCAAGGGGACCGUCUGUUCCGAGGGAUGGCUGUUGCCACUCUGGACUUGAGCAUUCAGCCCCAGGGAUGCCCCUAUCCAGUGCCAGCUCUGCCUCCCAAGCAGUGUUGUAGAAUGAAACCCGACCCUAACUUCUCACCUUGGUGUUUCUGUGAAGCACAACCGACCCGCGUUUUCUCUGUGGUUAGAGGUUAGCGUGUAUCUAAAGGCCCCCACUGCUCUCAGGGGGGCUGAGGUGUGAAGUGCUGAGGACUGAACCCGACUUCUUGGAUGUUAAGCACAAUGUGCUAGCCUACGCUUUCAAAGUGGUGUGCUCCUGCAAGGCCCUUGCUGAAUCUAGCUAUUCUCUGAAUUUAUUGUCUAGCUCAGGAUUUCAGAUCCCCUUUCCAGUGAUACCCAGAUUUGAUUUGAUUGCCCGUUUUGGUCCAUGUUGGUAUAGGUUGGAAUGGUGAGCAAUAUCAGAGAACCAUGUUUUCUCUCAGGACACUUUCUGUGCUGGGGUAGCACAGGCUGUCAUGCUCAGCAUAGGUGCUCGCUCUGCUGCACUAGUCCUUCAAAGUCGUGGCUUAAAGAUUUUAAACUUCUGUCACCAUGUUGUUUCUGGGAUGACAUCACUGGCCUCAGGGUCUCCUGUCGCUUGGCUCCUAACACAGCACUUUACCCUUCCUCUUCUCUUCCCAGGAAGUUUUCAUCUCCCCUAACUUAAUUUUUGGUCACCUCCUUUUCCUUCCGCUCUUCACAAAGGAUGUGACUAUGCCUGGGCCCCUGGCAGUCCUUGGGGAACCUUGUUUUUUAAGCCAUUACACUGAGUCAAUAAUGUAAAGAAAGAAAAAGGUAUUAGACUAGUAAUAGUCCACUAAAUGCUAUCACAGUUGAGAGAAACCAAGCUGUUUCCCUAAGAGUAAGCUAUGCUCACUAAAGAUGCCUUUACAACAGGCCUUAUGGCACAGGCCUGAAGUCCCAGCUCCCUUGGAGCUGAGGCGAGAGGAUUACAAGUUAUAGGCUUGCUCCGUAACCAGUCUGAGACUGCUCUGGGCACCUCAGUGCAACCCUCAACACUUAAGGAGAAGUUAGAAGACAGCACUCAGUGGCAUGUCAGGCCCUAGACUCAGUCCCCACACUAAAGCAAAGCAGACAACUCCAGCUCUCCACACAGCUGGUCUCUGACACCUUGGGGGACACAAGGGCCCUAGCUAUGGAGUGCGUAUUCCACAGACACCUAUGGUUACCUUGGAUACUGCCAAAACUCUUAAAUACAUGGACUUUUACCUCAGAAACUUGUCUUCAGAUAUCCUGUUAAUCUUCAGUUUUUGUUUGUUUUUGUUUUUUGGAGGAAGGCCUUCUCUCUAUGUAGCUAUGGCUGUCCUAGAAUUCACUCUGUAGAUCAGGCUGGCCUCAGACUCACUGCCUCUGCUUCUCUAGUAUUAGGAUGAGAGGUGUGCAGCACCACCACCACCCGGUAAUGUGGGCCUUUCUUACUAAGGGGCUUCUAUGUUCUGAAGUUCCAUCUCUGUGAAAACAUUAAUAUAUUUUAAAUCCUUGGGAUGUGCUCUGGUACAUGGUGGGUGCUGUGUGUUAUCACUAUUACAUGAAGAACAUCUGAAUCACAGAAGUCCUUGCAAAGUGUGCCUUAAAUUUCUCAUCAUUUAAGCUUUUUUUUUUUUUAAUACACUGAAGUCAGCAUUCAUAUGAAGGCUCCCUUUUUGAAAAAAGUCACCUUGUCCUGAGAGUCUCUGGCCAUCGUUUUUCCAGCACCUGCCAUUUUUUAUUCUGGGGACGUUUUCUGGGUUUACUGACAUCAUUACUUUGUUGCUUAGAAAGCUGUUCUGUGAGCAACAUCUGUCUCAUUCCUUCAAAGCUUUUCCAAAACAGUUUAGCUUAUUUUCAAAAUAAAACUGCUGGGCAUGAUAUUCUGUAGGGUUCUUACCUGGCACAGCCCAAGUUUCUUCUGGGGCCUCUCUGGCUCUUUGCAGUACACACUUCAAAACCCCAAGCACUGAGUCACUCCAUGCUAGCUGCUCGCCACCACACAUGGAGGGCUUGUGCCGCUGCCCAGCUCCUGACUGGCUCCUGAGGCUUCCCCAACUGUGUGUGCAAUAAGGUUACUGCUUUAUUACUGGACAGAGCGUGGUAUCCCAGAGAGGAGCAUAAAUAAAUUGAACUGUGGAGUGUAAUAAGGGAGGGAAAUAGCAGUAUUAAUACGAGCCGGCUGCUAUUUACCUUCAUGUCCCCCUUAAGCCCCAACUGCUUUUGUCAAAGCCAGUGUUAAUUUUAAAACAGCCUAACAAAAAUGUAUUGGGUAUUUCUAAUUCUUACUCUGUCAAGAUAAUUAUAUAAAUGUAUGACCAGCAUUAAAGUACUUUAUUUAGAAUGGAUUGUUACCGAGUGAAAUGAGGGACAGCAUCUCGGUGACUCCUCUGUGUAGUAAUAAAAACCUUUGAUUAAAUAGUU